GACGAACGCUGGCGGCGUGCCUAAUACAUGCAAGUAGAACGCAGUUGCGAACGGGUGAGUAACGCGUAGGUAACUGCCUCAUAGCGGGGGAAAACUAUUGGAAACGAUAGCUAAUACCGCAUACUGUGAGAUGGACCUGCGUUGUAUUAGCUGGUUGGUGAGGUAAAGGCUCACCAAGGCGACGAUCCCUAGCAGACCUGAGAGGGUGAUCGGCCACAUUGGAACUGGGACACGGCCCAGACUCCUACGGGAGGCAGCAGUGGGGAAUUUUGGACAAUGGGGGAAACCCUGAUCCAGCCAUCCCGCGUGUGCGAUGAAGGCCUUCGGGUUGUAAAGCACUUUCAGCGGGGAGGCGUUACCCGCAGAAGAAGCACCGGCUAACUCCGUGCCAGCAGCCGCGGUAAUAC
This 407-nucleotide ribosomal RNA is filed under the name uncultured bacterium. RNAcentral describes it as "partial 16S ribosomal RNA". It matches the Rfam family "Bacterial small subunit ribosomal RNA", at positions 28 to 526 of the family's 1533-position model. The record is from RNAcentral.